RNAcentral lists this ribosomal RNA (493 nucleotides) under uncultured bacterium. RNAcentral's name for it is "bacterial SSU rRNA". It matches the Rfam family "Bacterial small subunit ribosomal RNA", at positions 8 to 526 of the family's 1533-position model. The record is from RNAcentral.
AGAGUUUGAUCAUGGCUCAGAACGAACGUUGGCGGCGUGGAUCAGGCAUGCAAGUCGAACGACCGUAGCAAUACGGGAGUGGCGAAAGGGGCAGUAAGACAUGGGCAACCUACCCCCGGGACCGGCAUAGCCGGCCUAACGGCCGGGUAACACCGGGCGGCCCCGAGACCAGGCAUCUGGUUUCGGGUAAAGCUCCGGCGUCCGGGGAGGGGCUCAUGCGGUAUCAGCUAGUUGGUGGGGUAACGGCCCACCAAGGCUUGGACGCCUAGCGGGUGUGAGAGCACGACCCGCGCCACUGGCACUGCGACACUGGCCAGACUCCUACGGGAGGCUGCAGUCGAGGAUCUUCGGCAAUGGGCGAAAGCCUGACCGAGCGACGCCGCGUGCGCGACGAAGGCCUUCGGGUUGUAAAGCGCGAAGGGGGAGAGGAAGGGCAACUUGACCGAUCCCCAGUAAGCACGGGCUAAGUUCGUGCCAGCAGCCGCGGUAAUAC